CAAGAUAGCCCGAUUUGGCCCCCGUUAGAAAGUACCGGCGUCAUCCCCCACCGGCGAUUCAGCAUUGUCCCGGCGCCAAUAUAGCGGAUUCUGGCCCCCGGACCUUCACAAAAAACGCCCCGGAGCGGCUUUUGCCGUCCGGAGUGUACCUUUCUUCCAAGCCCGGACGGCCAAAAAAUGGCCGCCCGAUGAACGGUUGCGUCAG
This 205-nucleotide unclassified non-coding RNA is filed under the name Hevea brasiliensis (rubber tree). The record is from RNAcentral. Lineage: Eukaryota; Viridiplantae; Streptophyta; Magnoliopsida; Malpighiales; Euphorbiaceae.